AUGGGAAUUUGGUCAAGAGGAGCAAUCCUAUUUUGGUAUACCUUCCUCAUGGUCUAGAGGGGGAGAUUGUUGGGUUUUUUCCAGCCCAUGAUUAAUUGUCCUAAGUCUAUUGGGAAUUAAUAGUCUUAUAGGAUUAAAUUGUUUUCCCAAUUGGAGUUGUUUUCCCAAUUGGAGUUGUUUAUCCAAUUGGAGUUAGUUUCUCAAUUGGAGUAGUAGUUUCUUUCUUGGAGUAGGUUUUAUAACUAGUUUCCAAUUAGGAUUAAUAAUCCUUAUUGAAGAAGACCCUUAUUAUGUCUAUAUAAAUGUGCUAUUGUACUAGUUUUGUAUAGGAAGGGAGCAAAACAAUAAAUUGUAUACCACUUAAGGGAUUAGAGUGAGAGAAUAUUGUAAAGUGUGUGCAAGAGAAAACAAAAGAAAGAGUAUUUCUUGUUCUUGUUCUUUCAGGUUUUUCGUCAAGUCCUAGUUCUAGAGAUUUGGCAAGAUUAUUGGUUGUACUCAUUAUUAAUAUAGUAAAAGAUUGUUGUUGCUGUCCCGUGGACAUAGGCACACAUUGCCGAACCACGUAAAUUCUUGGUGUUAUUUAUC
This 585-nucleotide long non-coding RNA is filed under the name Malus domestica (apple). RNAcentral's name for it is "long non-coding RNA (MDOM_LNC012141)". Lineage: Eukaryota; Viridiplantae; Streptophyta; Magnoliopsida; Rosales; Rosaceae. The record is from RNAcentral.